AACGCAUAUUGCGCUCUUUGGUAUUCCGAAGAGCAUGCUUGUUUGAGUAUCAGUAAACACCUCAACCUCUCUUUUUUGAUAAAAAAAAGGGAGGGUGGACUUGAGCUAUCCCAACGACCUUCACCGGUAGGCGGGCGGCUUGAAAUGCAGGUGCAGCUGGACUUUUAUCUGAGCUAAAAGCAUAUCUAUUUAGUCCUCGUCAAACAGGAUUAUUACUUUUGCUGCAGCUAACAUAAAGGAUAAUUGUCCUCUUUGCUGACUGAUGCAGGAUUUUACGACACUUUAUGUGUUGUUCAACUCGAUCUCAAAUCAAGUAAGACUACCCGCUGAACUUAA
RNAcentral lists this unclassified non-coding RNA (336 nucleotides) under uncultured fungus. Its description in RNAcentral is "partial contains 5.8S ribosomal RNA, internal transcribed spacer 2, and large subunit ribosomal RNA". Lineage: Eukaryota; Fungi. RNAcentral also lists the same sequence under 2 other names. The record is from RNAcentral.